AACGAACGCUGGCGGCAGGCCUAACACAUGCAAGUCGAGCGCCCCGCAAGGGGAGCGGCGGACGGGUUAGUAACGCGUGGGAAUGUACCCUUUGGUACGGAAUAGCCUCGGGAAACUGAGAGUAAUACCGUAUGUGCCCUUCGGGGAAAGAUUUAUCGCCAAAGGAUUAGCCCGCGUUGGAUUAGAUAGUUGGUGGGGUAAUGGCCUACCAAGUCUACGAUCCAUAGCUGGUUUGAGAGGAUGAUCAGCAACACUGGGACUGAGACACGGCCCAGACUCCUACGGGAGGCAGCAGUGGGGAAUCUUAGACAAUGGGCGCAAGCCUGAUCUAGCCAUGCCGCGUGGACGAUGAAGGCCUUAGGGUUGUAAAGUCCUUUCAGAUGGGAAGAUAAUGACGGUACCAUCAGAAGAAGCCCCGGCUAACUCCGUGCCAGCAGCCGCGGU
Molecule: ribosomal RNA, 444 nt
Filed under: uncultured bacterium
Lineage: Bacteria
Description: bacterial SSU rRNA
Rfam family: Bacterial small subunit ribosomal RNA
Source: RNAcentral